Molecule: ribosomal RNA, 436 nt
Filed under: uncultured bacterium
Lineage: Bacteria
Description: bacterial SSU rRNA
Rfam family: Bacterial small subunit ribosomal RNA
Source: RNAcentral
AAUGAUGAUGAUUUAUAACAAUGGCUUAGUGGCGGACUGGUGAGUAACGCGUAAGCAAUCUGCCUAUCAGAGGGGAAUAACAGUGAGAAAUCAUUGCUAAUACCGCAUAUGCCAUGAGUAUCGCAUGAUACAAUUGGGAAAGGAGUAAUCCGCUGAUAGAUGAGCUUGCGUCUGAUUAACUUGUUGGUGGGGUAACGGCCUACCAAGGUGACGAUCAGUAGCCGGACUGAGAGGUUGAACGGCCACAUUGGGACUGAGAUACGGCCCAGACUCCUACGGGAGGCAGCAGUCGGGAAUAUUGCGCAAUGGAGGAAACUCUGACGCAGUGACGCCGCGUAUAGGAUGAAGGUUUUCGGAUUGUAAACUAUUGUCGUUAGGGAAGAUUUAAGACAGUACCUAGGGAGGAAGCUCCGGCUAACUACGUGCCAGCCGCUGC